RNAcentral lists this ribosomal RNA (256 nucleotides) under uncultured bacterium. RNAcentral describes it as "partial 16S ribosomal RNA". It matches the Rfam family "Bacterial small subunit ribosomal RNA", at positions 524 to 776 of the family's 1533-position model. The record is from RNAcentral.
GACAGAGGGUGCAAACGUUGCUCGGAAUCACUGGGCGUAAAGGGCGUGUAGGCGGGAAGGAAAGUCGGGCGUGAAAUCCCUGGGCUCAACCCAGGAACUGCACUCGAAACUUCUUUUCUUGAGUGCCGGAGAGGAAAGCGGAAUUCCUGGUGUAGAGGUGAAAUUCGUAGAUAUCAGGAGGAACACCAGUGGCGAAGGCGGCUUUCUGGACGGGUAACUGACGCUGGAGAACGCGAAAGCGUGGGGAGCAAACAGG